This 393-nucleotide ribosomal RNA is filed under the name uncultured Chrysophyceae. RNAcentral's name for it is "partial small subunit ribosomal RNA". It matches the Rfam family "Eukaryotic small subunit ribosomal RNA", at positions 30 to 432 of the family's 1831-position model. Lineage: Eukaryota; Chrysophyceae. The record is from RNAcentral.
GCUUGUCUCAAAGAUUAAGCCAUGCAUGUCUAAGUGUAAAUAAGUCUAUACUGUGAAACUGCGAAUGGCUCAUUAUAUCAGUUAUAGUUUAUUUGAUGGUUCUUGCUACUUGGAUAACCGUAGUAAUUCUAGAGCUAAUACAUGCAUCAAACCCCGACUCACGAAGGGGUGUAUUUAUUAGAUGGAAACCAAUGCGGGGCAACCCGGUAUAUGGUGAUUCAUAAUAACUUUCGGAUCGAUCUUCGGAUCGAUGCAUCAUUCAAGUUUCUGCCCUAUCAGCUUUGGAUGGUAGGGUAUUGGCCUACCAUGGCUUUAACGGGUAACGGAGAAUUAGGGUUCGAUUCCGGAGAGGGAGCCUGAGAGAUGGCUACCACAUCCAAGGAAGGCAGCAGG